UGCUUUGUACCCUGGACCAGCACUGC
Molecule: non-coding RNA, 26 nt
Filed under: Rattus norvegicus (Norway rat)
Lineage: Eukaryota; Metazoa; Chordata; Mammalia; Rodentia; Muridae
Source: RNAcentral